AAACAUGAUUAAUCAUGUUGGAUUAAUCAUCCAACAUGAUUAAUCCAUGUUGGAUGGAUUAUCCAUCCAUGAUUAAUCCAUCCAAUGAUUGGAUUAAUCAUGAUUGAAUUUUAAUCCAAACCAAUCCAACAUGA
Small nucleolar RNA from Xiphophorus couchianus (Monterrey platyfish), 134 nucleotides. RefSeq annotates it as small nucleolar RNA snR35. The record is from RefSeq and is a predicted model, not a curated record. The transcript has a single exon. NCBI's taxonomy places the organism in Eukaryota, Metazoa, Chordata, Actinopteri, Cyprinodontiformes, Poeciliidae.